RNAcentral lists this small nuclear RNA (23 nucleotides) under Arabidopsis thaliana (thale cress). RNAcentral's name for it is "snRNA_02958". The record is from RNAcentral. Lineage: Eukaryota; Viridiplantae; Streptophyta; Magnoliopsida; Brassicales; Brassicaceae.
GAUAGGCCCAUAGUUUAAUCUCU